CCCGGGUCUUGUACACACCCGCCCGUCACACCAUGGAGUCGGUUCACAGAAGUAGCUACGCCUAACCGCAAGGGGGCGGUUACCACGGUGAGAUUCGUGACUGGGGUG
RNAcentral lists this ribosomal RNA (108 nucleotides) under uncultured bacterium. RNAcentral's name for it is "partial 16S ribosomal RNA". The record is from RNAcentral.